UACAGAGGGUGCGAGCGUUAAUCGGAAUUACUGGGCGUAAAGCGUGCGCAGGCGGUUUGCUAAGACAGGUGUGAAAUCCCCGGGCUUAACCUGGGAAUUGCGUUGGAGACUGCAAGGCUAGAAUCUGGCAGAGGGGGGUAGAAUUCCACGUGUAGCAGUGAAAUGCGUAGAGAUGUGGAGGAACACCGAUGGCGAAGGCAGCCCCCUGGGUCAAGAUUGACGCUCAUGCACGAAAGCGUGGGGAGCAAACAGG
Molecule: ribosomal RNA, 253 nt
Filed under: uncultured bacterium
Lineage: Bacteria
Description: partial 16S ribosomal RNA
Rfam family: Bacterial small subunit ribosomal RNA
Source: RNAcentral